GACGAACCGUGCGAACGUUGUUCGGAAUCACUGGGCUUAAAGGGCGCGUAGGCGGGUGUCCAAGUCAGGGGUGAAAUCCUCCAGCUUAACUGGAGAACUGCCUGUGAUACUGGACGUCUGGAGUGAGGUAGGGGCAUGUGGAACUUCCGGUGGAGCGGUGAAAUGCGUUGAUAUCGGAAGGAACGCCGGUGGCGAAAGCGCACUACUGGACCUCUUCUGACGCUGAGGCGCGAAAGCCAGGGGAGCAAACGGG
This 253-nucleotide ribosomal RNA is filed under the name uncultured bacterium. RNAcentral describes it as "partial 16S ribosomal RNA". It matches the Rfam family "Bacterial small subunit ribosomal RNA", at positions 524 to 776 of the family's 1533-position model. The record is from RNAcentral.